GAUGAAGAACGUAGCGAAAUGCGAUAAGUAAUGUGAAUUGCAGAAUUCAGUGAAUCAUCGAAUCUUUGAACGCACAUUGUGCCCCUUGGUAUUCCGAGGGGCAUGCCUGUUCGAGCGUCAUUAUAACCCCUCAAGCUUAGCUUGGUGUUGGGGCCUGCUGUAAUAGAGCAGCCCUUAAAAUCAGUGGCGGUGCCAUUAGGCUCUAAGCGUAGUAAUUCUUCUCGCUAUAGGGUUCUGGUGGAUGCUUGCCAUUAACCUCUAAUUUUCUAUGGUUGACCUCGGAUCAGGUAGGGAUACCCGCUGAACUUAAGCAUAUCAAUAAGCGGAGGA
RNAcentral lists this unclassified non-coding RNA (330 nucleotides) under soil metagenome. RNAcentral describes it as "partial contains 5.8S ribosomal RNA, internal transcribed spacer 2, and large subunit ribosomal RNA". The stretch from base 1 to 120 matches the Rfam family "5.8S ribosomal RNA", at positions 35 to 154 of the family's 154-position model. The record is from RNAcentral.